This 961-nucleotide ribosomal RNA is filed under the name Promicromonospora alba. RNAcentral's name for it is "bacterial SSU rRNA". It matches the Rfam family "Bacterial small subunit ribosomal RNA", at positions 34 to 1006 of the family's 1533-position model. The record is from RNAcentral. Lineage: Bacteria; Bacillati; Actinomycetota; Actinomycetes; Micrococcales; Promicromonosporaceae.
CGCUGGUGGCGUGCUUAACACAUGCAAGUCGAACGGUGAAGCCCAGCUUGCUGGGUGGAUCAGUGGCGAACGGGUGAGUAACACGUGAGCAACCUGCCCCCUACUUCGGGAUAAGCCUUGGAAACGAGGUCUAAUACCGGAUAUGAGCACUUACCGCAUGGUGGGUGUUGGAAAGUUUUUCGGUGGGGGAUGGGCUCGCGGCCUAUCAGCUUGUUGGUGGGGUAAUGGCCUACCAAGGCGUCGACGGGUAGCCGGCCUGAGAGGGCGACCGGCCACACUGGGACUGAGACACGGCCCAGACUCCUACGGGAGGCAGCAGUGGGGAAUAUUGCACAAUGGGCGAAAGCCUGAUGCAGCGACGCCACGUGAGGGAUGACGGCCUUCGGGUUGUAAACCUCUUUCAGCAGGGAAGAAGCGAAAGUGACGGUACCUGCAGAAGAAGCGCCGGCUAACUACGUGCCAGCAGCCGCGGUAAUACGUAGGGCGCAAGCGUUGUCCGGAAUUAUUGGGCGUAAAGAGCUCGUAGGCGGUCUGUCGCGUCUGGUGUGAAAUCCCAUGGCUCAACUGUGGGCUUGCAUCGGGUACGGGCAGACUAGAGUGCUGUAGGGGAGACUGGAAUUCCUGGUGUAGCGGUGGAAUGCGCAGAUAUCAGGAGGAACACCGAUGGCGAAGGCAGGUCUCUGGGCAGUUACUGACGCUGAGGAGCGAAAGCAUGGGGAGCGAACAGGAUUAGAUACCCUGGUAGUCCAUGCCGUAAACGUUGGGCACUAGGUGUGGGGCGGGUUCCACUCGUUCUGUGCCGCAGCUAACGCAUUAAGUGCCCCGCCUGGGGAGUACGGCCGCAAGGCUAAAACUCAAAGGAAUUGACGGGGGCCCGCACAAGCGGCGGAGCAUGCGGAUUAAUUCGAUGCAACGCGAAGAACCUUACCAAGGCUUGACAUGUACGAGAACGCGUCAGAGA